CAGGGAGACAAACAAGACGUUGAUGCUUGAUCCACAUUGUGAUUAAGCCAGUGUCCUGUCAUCUCGAAGGUCGAUCGGUACCUCACUUGAGGAUCCAGAGAAUUUAUUCUGCUGGAUGAUCUCAAUUUCAGUUCCUAAACGUUGUCUAGGUCACCCACUGUAGGUAAAUAACUCCUGGGCCAUUAGCUCAGGUGGUUAGAGCGCACCCCUGAUAAGGGUGAGGUCCCUGGUUCAAGAUCAGGAUGGCCCAUUCGUGUUUGGGGGUUUAGCUCAGUUGGUAGAGCGCCUGCUUUGCAAGCAGCAUAUCAGCGGUUCGAGUCCGCUAACCCCCACUCAACGGCAACCCCAGAAGGCGAAUUCUAAGGAGUUCCCGGUGUGUGAUCGAGACAGGUAAGUUCGCUGAAGAUUUCAGCUUCUUUUCAUUCCUGAGACGAUUGUUUGUUGUGAGCAUUGCCUUGUGCAACGGCUUAAAGCAACGCUUGUUUUUCUGAGGUUGAAAGGACGCUGAAUUCAGCCGAGUGAAGCGAAAGCUUGAUUCGUGUUUAAUUUCGGCAGAACCUUGACAACUGCAUAGGUGAGUCUGGAAAUAAAGCAUCUCAUGGAUGCCCAGAUGCAAGCCGAUAGGGAGACAACCGAAAGGUUGGCUCUGUUUUGGUUUUGUGUUUUGGGAAAAUCCUAUUGAGUUUUUAGAGCCGAGAGCUCUACUGGUUCUUCCCAGCCAAGCAAGUUAACUGCAUGGUUGGUUUGGGGAGUUUGAUCCUGGUAUUGACGUCUGACUUGCAACAGCCGAAAGGCUGGCGUAAGAGCUCUUCUGAAAAGAGGGGUGUUAAGGAUGGUCAAUCUAGAGAGAAUGGGCCUCAACAGCCUGAAGACAGUAGAGAUUUACAUU
RNAcentral lists this transfer RNA (889 nucleotides) under uncultured Synechococcus sp. Its description in RNAcentral is "16S-23S ribosomal RNA intergenic spacer". The stretch from base 260 to 332 matches the Rfam family "tRNA". The record is from RNAcentral. Lineage: Bacteria; Bacillati; Cyanobacteriota; Cyanophyceae; Synechococcales; Synechococcaceae.